RNAcentral lists this ribosomal RNA (492 nucleotides) under uncultured bacterium. RNAcentral describes it as "partial 16S ribosomal RNA". It matches the Rfam family "Bacterial small subunit ribosomal RNA", at positions 29 to 507 of the family's 1533-position model. The record is from RNAcentral.
AGUGAACGCUGGCGGUAGGCCUAACACAUGCAAGUCGAACGGCAGCACAGUAAGAGCUUGCUCUUACGGGUGGCGAGUGGCGGACGGGUGAGGAAUACAUCGGAAUCUACUUUUUCGUGGGGGAUAACGUAGGGAAACUUACGCUAAUACCGCAUACGACCUACGGGUGAAAGCAGGGGAUCUUCGGACCUUGCGCGAUUGAAUGAGCCGAUGUCGGAUUAGCUCGUUGGCGGGGUAAAGGCCCACCAAGGCGACGAUCCGUAGCUGGUCUGAGAGGAUGAUCAGCCACACUGGAACUGAGACACGGUCCAGACUCCUACGGGAGGCAGCAGUGGGGAAUAUUGGACAAUGGGCGCAAGCCUGAUCCAGCCAUACCGCGUGGGUGAAGAAGGCCUUCGGGUUGUAAAGCCCUUUUGCUGGGAAAGAAAAGCAGCAGGUUAAGACCCCGCUGUUCUGACGGUACCCAAAGAAUAAGCACCGGCUAACUUCGUG